AUUGAACGCUGGCGGCAGGCUUAACACAUGCAAGUCGAGCGGAGCGAGGGUGCUUGCACCUUAGCUUAGCGGCGGACGGGUGAGUAAUGCUUAGGAAUCUGCCUAUUAGUGGGGGACAACAUUCCGAAAGGAAUGCUAAUACCGCAUACGUCCUACGGGGGAACGCAGGGGCUCUUCGGACCUUGCGCUAAUAGAUGAGCCUAAGUCGGAUUAGCUAGUUGGUGGGGUAAAGGCCUACCAAGGCGACGAUCUGUAGCGGGUCUGAGAGGAUGAUCCGCCACACUGGGACUGAGACACGGCCCAGACUCCUACGGGAGGCAGCAGUGGGGAAUAUUGGACAAUGGGCGGAAGCCUGAUCCAGCCAUGCCGCGUGUGUGAAGAAGGCCUUUUGGUUGUAAAGCACUUUAAGCGAGGAGGAGGCUACUUAGAUUAAUACUCUGGGAUAGUGGACGUUACUCGCAGAAUAAGCACCGGCUAACUCUGUGUCAGCAGCCGCCGCAGUAA
This 504-nucleotide ribosomal RNA is filed under the name uncultured bacterium. RNAcentral describes it as "partial 16S ribosomal RNA". It matches the Rfam family "Bacterial small subunit ribosomal RNA", at positions 30 to 523 of the family's 1533-position model. The record is from RNAcentral.